This 269-nucleotide long non-coding RNA is filed under the name Lathyrus oleraceus (garden pea). Its description in RNAcentral is "Pisum sativum (pea) long non-coding RNA (PSAT_LNC026493)". The record is from RNAcentral. Lineage: Eukaryota; Viridiplantae; Streptophyta; Magnoliopsida; Fabales; Fabaceae.
UUUAAUUGUUUUUAAUUGAGUUUAAAUACUUUCUGGUUUCAAAAAUUUGUGAGAAAAUUAGUCAAAGCUUGUUUAACUAUGUUGAGCCUAUGGAAAUUUAAUUGGACUCAUUGAAGUUGUUUUGAAUUGAAUUUGAGGUUUGACCUUAUUUGUUUAUUUUUUAUUUGCAUUUUAUUUUAAUUCAAAAAAUACCAAAAAAACAUUAUUGACUUGUUAUCUUCAUUUCUUUUCUGUUUGGUGUUGAUUGAUGUUGGUUUGAUUCACAUUUG